RNAcentral lists this ribosomal RNA (372 nucleotides) under uncultured bacterium. RNAcentral's name for it is "bacterial SSU rRNA". It matches the Rfam family "Bacterial small subunit ribosomal RNA", at positions 521 to 895 of the family's 1533-position model. The record is from RNAcentral.
UAAUACGGAGGGUGCAAGCGUUAUCCGGAUUCACUGGGUUUAAAGGGUGCGUAGGAGGGCAGGUAAGUCAGUGGUGAAAUCUCCGGGCUUAACUCGGAAACUGCCGUUGAUACUAUCUGCCUUGAAUACCGUGGAGGUGAGCGGAAUAUGUCAUGUAGCGGUGAAAUGCUUAGAUAUGACAUAGAACACCAAUUGCGAAGGCAGCUCACUACACGAAUAUUGACUCUGAGGCACGAAAGCGUGGGGAUCAAACAGGAUUAGAUACCCUGGUAGUCCACGCCCUAAACGAUGGAUACUCGACAUACGCGAUACACAGUGUGUGUCUGAGCGAAAGCAUUAAGUAUCCCACCUGGGAAGUACGACCGCAAGGUU